This is a long non-coding RNA of Anneissia japonica, 994 nucleotides long. RefSeq lists it as uncharacterized. NCBI's taxonomy places the organism in Eukaryota, Metazoa, Echinodermata, Crinoidea, Comatulida, Comatulidae. The record is from RefSeq and is a predicted model, not a curated record. The transcript is spliced from 3 exons.
GGUUGAUGUUAAUGCUUGUGGGUGGACUGUUUCUGUAAAGAUGAUGUGGUAUAAUUGUCACUUACAUUAAAAUUACGAAAAUAAAAAAGAAAUCAUCAUCUAUCUAUCCGGAUCUGAGUUGUGUAAGAAGCUUGAAAUAAAUAUGAGUGAUGGGGAUACCAUAGACUUGCAGAUUCUUAAAUAAUACAUCUUGGAAGUUUUGACACAUGCAUCAGAUGAUGUAUUAGAUGAUAUUCUCGAGAAACUUCUGGAACUAGGUGUAGAGAAACCUUCCGAUUUUAAAUAUGUUGAUGAGAAUGAUCUACAAUGCCUUUGUCUAAAGAAGAUACAAGUUCAGAAACUUUUGAAAAGCUACAAGGAAGAGAAACCAAGUGCCAAACUGAUAAUGAGUGGAUCGUCUUCGACAUCACCUUGCUCAAGUAGUAUGACAGAUUUGUCUCCUGACAGAUUCAACUGGAGUUCGUCUUAUACAAUACCAUGGGCAAAAAUGCCACAAAGUCUUCAAGAUAGUAUAAAAAAAAUGGAGAGACCUCUCCCGGCAGUAAGACGAGAAAUGAUUAGGGUUUUGGCUGAUGAUACAGUAUUUCCAAAACAUCGGGUAGACCCACGCAUAGUCAACUUGCUGAUGUUGCUUCAAAAAUAGUAUCGGAAUACCCUAAAAGUUUCCAAGACAAUUUGGAUGAUGCCAUAGUUGGUACUGGCUAUAAUUCUAUUUUAACACAACUAUAACACAGAUUUCAGAACAUUAGCAGGACUGUCAAACCUACAAAGAGGCCCAACAGUCCAAACAGUCUUGAUUCUAAUAAGUCAAAAAAACGUAAGAGAGGAGCUUCUACUUCAUCCUAUGGCACAAUUCCAAAGGAGUACCAACCUGAAUUGCCAGAAGAAGAAGAUGAGUCAACUCAGGAUUUAAAGAAAGAAGCUUUGAAGGAUAUCUAUUCAAGUAGAGUUUGGAAUUUAGAUGAUUUAAAGGGUUAUCUUGAUGAAACAUACC